This 274-nucleotide ribosomal RNA is filed under the name uncultured bacterium. RNAcentral describes it as "partial 16S ribosomal RNA". It matches the Rfam family "Bacterial small subunit ribosomal RNA", at positions 523 to 796 of the family's 1533-position model. The record is from RNAcentral.
AUACGUAUGGGGCAAGCGUUAUCCGGAUUCAUUGGGCGUAAAGCGCGUGUAGGCGGCUUGUUAAGUCAGAUGUGAAAACCGGGGGCUUAACCCGCGGCGUGCAUCUGAAACUGGCAGGCUUGAGUCUGGUAGAGGAAAGUGGAAUUCCUAGUGUAGCGGUGAAAUGCGCAGAUAUUAGGAGGAACACCAGUGGCGAAGGCGGCUUUCUGGGCCACGACUGACGCUGAGACGCGAAAGCUAGGGGAGCAAACAGGAUUAGAAACCCGUGUAGUCC